GACGAACGCUGGCGGCGUGCUUAACACAUGCAAGUCGAACGGAAAGGCCCUGCGUUUGUGGGGUUCUCGAGUGGCGAACGGGUGAGUAACACGUGAGUAACCUGCCCUUGACUUUGGGAUAACUUCAGGAAACUGGGGCUAAUACCGGAGAGGAGCUCCUGCUGCAUGGUGGGGGUUGGAAAGUUUCGGCGUUGGGGGAUGGACUCGCGGGUUAUCAGCUUGUUGGUGGGGUAGUUGCUGACCAAGGCUUUGACGGGUAGCCUGCCUGAGAGCGUGACCGGCCACAUUGGGACUGAGAUACGGACCAGACUCCUACGGGAGGCAGCAGUGGGGAAUCUUGCACAAUGGCCGGAAGCCUGAUGUAGCAACGCCGCGUGCGGGAUGCUGGCCUUCGGGUUGUAAACAGCUUUCGAAUGUGACGAAGCGUGCGUGACGGUACUGGGUCAAGAAGCCCCGGCUAACUACGUG
RNAcentral lists this ribosomal RNA (468 nucleotides) under uncultured bacterium. RNAcentral's name for it is "partial 16S ribosomal RNA". It matches the Rfam family "Bacterial small subunit ribosomal RNA", at positions 28 to 507 of the family's 1533-position model. The record is from RNAcentral.